This 467-nucleotide ribosomal RNA is filed under the name uncultured bacterium. RNAcentral describes it as "partial 16S ribosomal RNA". It matches the Rfam family "Bacterial small subunit ribosomal RNA", at positions 28 to 506 of the family's 1533-position model. The record is from RNAcentral.
GAUGAACGCUGGCGGCGUGCUUAACACAUGCAAGUCGAACGGAAAGGCCCAAGCUUGCUUGGGUACUCGAGUGGCGAACGGGUGAGGAACACGUGGGUGAUCUGCCCUGCACUUCGGGAUAAGCCUGGGAAACUGGGUCUAAUACCGGAUAGGACCACUUCUUGGAUGUUGUGGUGGAAAGUUUUUUCGGUGUGGGAUGAGCUCGCGGCCUAUCAGCUUGUUGGUGGGGUAAUGGCCUACGAAGGCGUCGACGGGUAGCCGGCCUGAGAGGGUGUACGGCGACAUUGGGACUGAGAUACGGCCCAGACGCCUAAGGGAGGAAGAAGUGGGGAAUAUUGCACAAUGGGCGCAAGCCGGAUGAAGAGACGCCGCGUGGUGGAUGACGGCUUUGUGGUUGUAAAAUCCUUUCGCUAGGGACGACGCGUUUUUGGGAGGGUACCAGAAGAAGAAGCACGGGUUACCUACGG